Molecule: long non-coding RNA, 240 nt
Filed under: Gossypium raimondii (Peruvian cotton)
Lineage: Eukaryota; Viridiplantae; Streptophyta; Magnoliopsida; Malvales; Malvaceae
Description: long non-coding RNA (GRAI_LNC004065)
Source: RNAcentral
GUUGUUGUCGAUGAUUUCUACAAAUUAUUCUCUUUGGACCGGUGGCUGGCUUUAUAGGUGUUCCCCUACUACUAGUCAAACACUGAAAUAAAAAAGAAAACAAAAGUUGUCAGUAAAAAUAAAAAUAAAACUUGUAUCUAUAAUUUAAAUAUUUCCUAAUUAUUCUAUUAAAUGCAAAGAUAAAAAUUAAUCUAAUGACGUUCGCUCCCCGACAACGGCGUCAACAACUUAACCACCUCC